AGCAGUUCGGCUGGGCACUCUAAAGGGACUGCCGGUGUUAAACCGGAGGAAGGUGGGGAUGACGUCAAGUCCUCAUGGCCUUUAUGACCAGGGCUACACACGUACUACAAUGGCCGAUACAAAGGGCAGCGACACUGCGAGGUGAAGCCAAUCCCGUAAAAUCGGUCUCAGUCCGGAUUGGAGUCUGCAACUCGACUCCAUGAAGUUGGAAUCGCUAGUAAUCGUGGAUCAGCAUGCCGCGGUGAAUACGUUCCCGGGCCUU
Molecule: ribosomal RNA, 262 nt
Filed under: uncultured Desulfobulbus sp.
Lineage: Bacteria; Pseudomonadati; Thermodesulfobacteriota; Desulfobulbia; Desulfobulbales; Desulfobulbaceae
Description: partial 16S ribosomal RNA
Rfam family: Bacterial small subunit ribosomal RNA
Source: RNAcentral